Molecule: long non-coding RNA, 965 nt
Filed under: Triticum aestivum (bread wheat)
Lineage: Eukaryota; Viridiplantae; Streptophyta; Magnoliopsida; Poales; Poaceae
Description: long non-coding RNA (TAES_LNC011668)
Source: RNAcentral
CCACUAUCGAAUUUGAGGUUGAUCGAAUAUGAAAACCAUUUGAUGCACCAAUUGAGUUUCUCUAUAUCGCAGCAAGGCAUCCUUUUUUUUUUUCUAUUAUAGCUGUACUGUGGUUCUAGUUUUGUAGAGUAUAUUAUCUUAACGUGAAUACACUGGAACGAACAUCCAUGGCAUCAACGGCGAGUAAAAGUAUGAAUGUGCCACCAUUAAGACAUGAACCUACACCUAUAGAAUUGCAGUACUUAAUCUAGAAUACACAUGAUAGUUUUUCUAUUUCAACAUAAUUAACCUUCUGAGCUAACAUGUGAAUAUCUUUCUUUAUGAGCACUUCCUAGAGUAUAAUUGAAGUAUUAUUGAUCCAUUAAUAGCCCUGAUCUAUAAUUUCGUGCAGAUGGUACUUACUGGAGAUGGUCUGAUUGCUCGCCGGAGCCGGCUGGUGUCCGCUGGAAGAAGACAAUGCCGAAGUGCCACUGGUUGGAGGAUGUUGACUUCGAAGUGUCAUUCGCCGGAGAAAGAUGAUGUACAAGGUGUAACCUACAAUCUAGAGGACAAUUAAACCUUGAGGUGGGAGUGCUCUGUUUGGGCAGAUCGAAUCUCUGUACAUUAUUGUGAGAGUUCGGAGAGAUUGCAUCUCCAAACUUUGUUUUUGCGCCAGUUUUUUUAUUGUGGGAUGGUUUGAUGGCUCAUGGGAUGGUCGAACCUAUUGGGAUCAUGAGAUUUAUGUUGUGGGAUGCUCUAAUCGCCCAACCUAUUGGGGUCGUGAGAUUGUAAUUGUGGGUUGUUUUUUUUAACUGAUGGUGGGAUGUUUUUUUUUUGGAUUGAUCGUCGGAUGGUUUGAUAGCUCAAACCUGUUGGGAUCGUAACUGAUCGUGGGAUGUUUUUAUUUUUAUUUUUGACUGAUCGUGGGAUGGUUUGGUAGCUCGAACCUGUUGGGAUCGUGAUAUUUAAGGCUGGUCAUAGUGGGG